Molecule: long non-coding RNA, 407 nt
Organism: Micropterus salmoides (largemouth bass)
Lineage: Eukaryota; Metazoa; Chordata; Actinopteri; Centrarchiformes; Centrarchidae
Exons: 2
Source: RefSeq, a predicted model, not a curated record
CCUGUUCCCUACUAAUCCUGUUCUUUUGUGCCGCAGAUAUCCCCGCCUGGUCCAUCUCCUACAACAAUUCCACUCCUGCUCAAGUGCGCCCGAGACUGUGGGCCUCUUCUCUUUUAUGCCUAACUAACUUGCUAAUAUGCAUAUCUUACACACAUAUCACAGAUUUGCACUCCCUCGGGUUCCUGCCCUACUUAAGCAGUGGCCUGACAUCCUGUCCUCGCCGGAUUGUUAAGUCGUCUCAGAUCUCCACCAACUCACUUUCCCCGCCUCCUGGAUCUCACUCUCCUGCCUGUUACCUGUUUGCCUCUCUGCCUGGACCCCAUCAGCUUCCUUCACCUGCCUGCUCUGCCUGCCCCGAUCCCCGCAGCCACGGCCAGCUCUUUGACUCAAUAAAUCUCUGAGAACCA